RNAcentral lists this transfer RNA (74 nucleotides) under Elusimicrobiota bacterium. RNAcentral describes it as "tRNA-Pro". It matches the Rfam family "tRNA". Rfam says of the family: Transfer RNA (tRNA) molecules are approximately 80 nucleotides in length. Their secondary structure includes four short double-helical elements and three loops (D, anti-codon, and T loops). Lineage: Bacteria; Pseudomonadati; Elusimicrobiota. The record is from RNAcentral.
CGGGAAGUAGCGUAAUUGGCUAUCGCGCACGCUUUGGGAGCGUGAGGUUGCGGGUUCGAGUCCCGCCUUCCCGA